RNAcentral lists this transfer RNA (85 nucleotides) under Spirosoma linguale DSM 74. RNAcentral describes it as "tRNA-Leu". The record is from RNAcentral. Lineage: Bacteria; Pseudomonadati; Bacteroidota; Cytophagia; Cytophagales; Cytophagaceae.
GGCCACGUGGUGAAACUGGUAGACACGCCAUCUUGAGGGGGUGGUGCUGCAAGGCAUGGGAGUUCGAGUCUCCCCGUGGUCACUA